AGCAAGUAGCGUUGGGCACUCUAGCCAGACUGCCGGUGGAUAAAUACGGAGGAAGGUGGGGACGACGUCAAAUCAUCAUGCCCUUUAUGUCCUGGGCUACACACGUACUACAAUGGCCGUUACAACGGGAAGCGAAGGAGCAAUCCGGAGCAAAUCCCUUAAAGGCGGUCCCAGUUCAGAUUGUGGGCUGAAACUCGCCCACAUGAAGGCGGAAUUGCUAGUAAUUGCAGAUCAGCAUGCUGCAGUGAAUACGUUCCCGGGCCUU
This 265-nucleotide ribosomal RNA is filed under the name uncultured Oscillospiraceae bacterium. RNAcentral describes it as "partial 16S ribosomal RNA". It matches the Rfam family "Bacterial small subunit ribosomal RNA", at positions 1120 to 1382 of the family's 1533-position model. The record is from RNAcentral. Lineage: Bacteria; Bacillati; Bacillota; Clostridia; Eubacteriales; Oscillospiraceae.